RNAcentral lists this ribosomal RNA (621 nucleotides) under Herbaspirillum huttiense. RNAcentral's name for it is "bacterial SSU rRNA". It matches the Rfam family "Bacterial small subunit ribosomal RNA", at positions 54 to 670 of the family's 1533-position model. The record is from RNAcentral. Lineage: Bacteria; Pseudomonadati; Pseudomonadota; Betaproteobacteria; Burkholderiales; Oxalobacteraceae.
CAUGCAGUCGACGGCAGCAUAGGAGCUUGCUCCUGAUGGCGAGUGGCGAACGGGUGAGUAAUAUAUCGGAACGUGCCCUAGAGUGGGGGAUAACUAGUCGAAAGACUAGCUAAUACCGCAUACGAUCUACGGAUGAAAGUGGGGGAUCGCAAGACCUCAUGCUCCUGGAGCGGCCGAUAUCUGAUUAGCUAGUUGGUGGGGUAAAAGCCUACCAAGGCAACGAUCAGUAGCUGGUCUGAGAGGACGACCAGCCACACUGGGACUGAGACACGGCCCAGACUCCUACGGGAGGCAGCAGUGGGGAAUUUUGGACAAUGGGGGCAACCCUGAUCCAGCAAUGCCGCGUGAGUGAAGAAGGCCUUCGGGUUGUAAAGCUCUUUUGUCAGGGAAGAAACGGUAGUAGCGAAUAACUAUUACUAAUGACGGUACCUGAAGAAUAAGCACCGGCUAACUACGUGCCAGCAGCCGCGGUAAUACGUAGGGUGCAAGCGUUAAUCGGAAUUACUGGGCGUAAAGCGUGCGCAGGCGGUUGUGUAAGUCAGAUGUGAAAUCCCCGGGCUCAACCUGGGAAUUGCAUUUGAGACUGCACGGCUAGAGUGUGUCAGAGGGGGGUAGAAUUCC